GAUGAACGCUGGCGGCGUGCCUAAUACAUGCAAGUCGAGCGAACAGAUGAGGAGCUUGCUCCUCUGACGUUAGCGGCGGACGGGUGAGUAACACGUGGAUAACCUACCUAUAAGACUGGGAUAACUUCGGGAAACCGGAGCUAAUACCGGAUAAUAUAUUGAACCGCAUGGUUCAAUAGUGAAAGACGGUUUUGCUGUCACUUAUAAAUGGAUCCGCGCCGCAUUAGCUAGUUGGUAAGGUAACGGCUUACCAAGGCAACGAUGCGUAGCCGACCUGAGAGGGUGAUCGGCCACACUGGAACUGAGACACGGUCCAGACUCCUACGGGAGGCAGCAGUAGGGAAUCUUCCGCAAUGGGCGAAAGCUUGACGGAGCAACGCCGCGUGAGUGAUGAAGGUCUUCGGAUCGUAAAACUCUGUUAUUAGGGAAGAACAAAUGUGUAAGUAACUAUGCACGUCUUGACGGUACCUAAUCAGAAAGCAACGGCUAACUACGUG
Molecule: ribosomal RNA, 497 nt
Filed under: uncultured bacterium
Lineage: Bacteria
Description: partial 16S ribosomal RNA
Rfam family: Bacterial small subunit ribosomal RNA
Source: RNAcentral